UGGGGAAUAUUGCACAAUGGGCGAAAGCCUGAUGCAGCAACGCCGCGUGAGGGAUGAAGGCCUUCGGGUUGUAAACCUCUUUUAGUAGGGAAGAAGCGAAAGUGACGGUACCUACAGAAAAAGCACCGGCUAACUACGUG
Molecule: ribosomal RNA, 140 nt
Filed under: uncultured Dermatophilus sp.
Lineage: Bacteria; Bacillati; Actinomycetota; Actinomycetes; Micrococcales; Dermatophilaceae
Description: partial 16S ribosomal RNA
Rfam family: Bacterial small subunit ribosomal RNA
Source: RNAcentral